RNAcentral lists this ribosomal RNA (301 nucleotides) under uncultured bacterium. Its description in RNAcentral is "partial 16S ribosomal RNA". It matches the Rfam family "Bacterial small subunit ribosomal RNA", at positions 509 to 809 of the family's 1533-position model. The record is from RNAcentral.
CAGUAGCCGCGGUAAUACGUAGGGUGCAAGCGUUAAUCGGAAUUACUGGGCGUAAAGCGUGCGCAGGCGGUUAUAUAAGACAGAUGUGAAAUCCCCGGGCUCAACCUGGGAACUGCAUUUGUGACUGUAUAGCUAGAGUACGGCAGAGGGGGAUGGAAUUCCGCGUGUAGCAGUGAAAUGCGUAGAUAUGCGGAGGAACACCGAUGGCGAAGGCAAUCCCCUGGGCCUGUACUGACGCUCAUGCACGAAAGCGUGGGGAGCAAACAGGAUUAGAUACCCCCGUAGUCCCUGUCUCUUAUAA